GACGAACGCUGGCGGCGUGCUUAACACAUGCAAGUCGAACGGAAAGGCCCUGCUUUUGUGGGGUGCUCGAGUGGCGAACGGGUGAGUAACACGUGAGUAACCUGCCCUUGACUUUGGGAUAACUUCAGGAAACUGGGGCUAAUACCGGAUAGGAGCUCCUGCUGCAUGGUGGGGGUUGGAAAGUUUCGGCGGUUGGGGAUGGACUCGCGGCUUAUCAGCUUGUUGGUGGGGUAGUGGCUUACCAAGGCUUUGACGGGUAGCCGGCCUGAGGGGGUGACCGGCCACAUUGGGACUGAGAUACGGCCCAGACUCCUACGGGAGGCAGCAGCGGGGAAUAUUGCACAAUGGGCGGAAGCCUGAUGCAGCAACGCCGCGUGCGGGAUGACGGCCUUCGGGUUGUAAACCGCUUUCGCCUGUGACGAAGCGUGAGUGACGGUAAUGGGUAAAGAAGCACCGGCUAACUACGCG
Molecule: ribosomal RNA, 468 nt
Filed under: uncultured bacterium
Lineage: Bacteria
Description: partial 16S ribosomal RNA
Rfam family: Bacterial small subunit ribosomal RNA
Source: RNAcentral